This 74-nucleotide transfer RNA is filed under the name bacterium. Its description in RNAcentral is "tRNA-Gly". It matches the Rfam family "tRNA". From Rfam's summary of the family: Transfer RNA (tRNA) molecules are approximately 80 nucleotides in length. Their secondary structure includes four short double-helical elements and three loops (D, anti-codon, and T loops). The record is from RNAcentral. RNAcentral also lists the same sequence under 1 other name.
GCGGGUGUUGUAUAACGGUAUUACCUCAGAUUUCCAAUCUGAUGACAGGGGUUCGACUCCCCUCACCCGCUCCA